RNA transcript from Macrobrachium nipponense, 4031 nucleotides. It is a transcript of the gene named TIP41-like protein, with no coding region annotated. The transcript has 7 exons. NCBI's taxonomy places the organism in Eukaryota, Metazoa, Arthropoda, Malacostraca, Decapoda, Palaemonidae. The record is from RefSeq and is a predicted model, not a curated record.
UUAACCUAUAAUUUUCUCUAUCCAGCAGGAAAGCAGGGUUAUUGGUAUCCUCUGCUCGGUUUCGUUUGGGGGUGGGGACACAAGGACAUAAACUAUGGCUGAGAUGUCCCUUUCUGAAAUUGUGUUCCCGCCUCCAAAAUAUCAAGAGUAUGUGUUUGGGUGUUGGACGAUCAAAGCUGUUAAAAGUCAUAUAAUGGGAUCUUCAUGUGAAGCUCCGACCAAGUGUGAUGAUUCAACUGAACAGCCUUGCAAUCUAUGUCGAUAUGAAAGAGAAUUAAGACUCCCUAGUCUUCCUGACAUGGUCUUUGCAAGUAACUUGCUCCAGAUAACUCACCGAUCAGGUGGCUCAAUUUCUUUCAACUGCCUUGAUGCUCUUAAAUGUGUAAAUGAUCGAGAAGACACCAUACAAGUUGCACAUGCAGAAGCCUGGAAGGAAGCAAGAGCAGACUGUGAAUAUGCCAAAAAAGUGGUGAAGCCAUACGACUGGACUUUCUCAACUAACUUCAGAGGGACGGUUGAUGGUUUAAAAGUUAGUGACUCCACAGAAAGAAUAGAUCUUCAGAAAUUAAAAAUACCAGAAGAGAUUGUGUUUUAUGACGAGGUUUUCUUAUAUGAAGAUGAACUAGAUGAUAACGGCAGUACCAGAUGUGUCGUGAAAGUGAGAGUGAUGCCAAGUGGUUUCUUCGCAGUUUUUCGCCACUACUUACGUGUAGAUCAUGUCAUCGUUCGUGUCAAUGACACAAGACUGUACAGCCCGUCCGGUGCUUCUUACAUAAUAAGAGAAACAUCGUCAAGAGAAGCUCCAAUCUCCAAGUUGAAUUGAUUUACAGUUGAGGACCUACUACAGUAUUUUCUACUGCAUUCAUACUUCAUUAGACAGUAAACUAUACUACACGUCGGAUGUAGAUCUGUGGACACUGAUGUUAAGAAUCUCGAACAAGAUACCUCCACCCAUUUACAAAAAUCCUGAUCAGGUGUGGCAACAUCUACCCCUAGUUAGUGAAACAGUGGAUAAAUUGUCACCAGAAGACUUGUGAACAUCUUCAGAUCACCAGAUUUCUUAUAACAAGUUUAAGAUACCAUUCCAUAGUAGAGGCUUUUUAACGUCACAAAGGGGUUGUAUUUUCAUUGGUUUUAAAAUUGGACAUAACUGAGUCCCAGUCUGUUUUAUUUUUGUCAGACUCCUUGCAUUAGCAAGAUUAUAGAAGCGUGUAAAAGUUAUAGGGACAUAAUGUUGCUCAGGACAUUUGGAGAACUAUAUAUAUAUAAGAAGUUUGAUUCAGAAAAGCAGGACAUGACAAACGUCUUCAAAGAGCAAGAGAAGUGGAACUUUAAAAUGAGGGAGGAUGCAUUUGUUAUGAAAUACUUUGUGUGACAAAUUUGAAUAUAAAAGCCUUUUGUAUGGCUUGUAUGGGCCAAGGGAAGAUGUAACAGAAUUAUAUGCACUGUGGAAUGAGUUGAGGGCAUAUGGUGUGAUAGACAGUUUAUCAAGAAAUGCUUGAAGCUUAAAUAAGAAUAUGUUGAGGGACAGUUGCUAAGAAGAGCUUGAAAGUCGAGGGACUUGUUUUAUGUAAAAAAUGAUCCCAAAGUUGUGCAUUAGUAUGAUAGAUGUUUAAAAGCUGUAAGAACGAUAUUGUUACAGAAAAAUGGAAGAUUUAGGCGCAAGUUUAGUGGAUAAGAGCCAGAUGUGAAUGAAAUUUGGAGUAGCUGAUAUUCAACGGUACUGUUAUUGCUGUUAGUUAAACAAGACCACCAAGCCACAUUUUCAGAAUACUUCACAUAGAGGUAAAUGGAAGGAUUUUACCUUGAUUGCAAGAUGAAAAUUUGAGCAAGUUGGAAACCUAGGUAAAGAAGACCAUAAAGGUCACUAAGACAAAUGUAGAAAGCCAUUAAAUUUAGAUUUGAAGAGAGGCUGCAAAGAGCAGGCACACUGAAAGCAGUACCUCUGAUAAGGUGGUUAUGGAUAGAGAGAUACUGCACUGACUGAGAAAAAAAAUUAGGCAUUUGAGAGAAAAUAUUUAAAGUACAUAUUAAAACAAAAGUAGAGAUACAAGUGAAGACAUACCAGAAAAUUAUUUUUAAAAAUGGAAAGUUUCACAUUUAAGAACCUAGGGUGAAAUGCCAAUGAUAAAAGUAGUGUGAAAGAAGAGAUGAGUCAAGGAAUUAGUGGCAGUGUUUAUGGAAUAAGGAAUAUGGAAAAUAUGAUGUGUAAUUAUCAUAAAGGUAUGGUAAAAUCUUUACUAUAUACCAUAAAGGUGUUGUAAAAUGGUUAACUGAAAAGAGGUAUCCCAGUGUUCUGGGAAUUGGUCAUAAGUCUCGAACUUUAGGAAGUCUUGAAUAAAAGUGGUGUUAGAAUGACAGCUUCUUUAGAAGUGGAGAUGAAGGUGAAUUGUGCUACAUAUGUAAACUAGUCUGUAAGCUGCUGAUAAAGCUUCUGUGUGGGGAUAUGAAAAGAAGAGAGGUUGUCAGAUUUUUGUUUUGGGAGUUUGGCCUUGCUUGCAUUUGCAGCAAUUCCUCCUCAUGGGAAAUGAUUUGUUAAUGAAAAGGCCUUUUUUAGUCUAUAGCUAUCCAUGAGGUGUAAAUAUUAGCCCCUUGCCAGUAACAGAAUUGAACAUCAUAAUUUGUUAACCUUUGAUCAAAAAAAUAAUGUGAUGAUAAAAUAGUGUAAAUCAGAAUUAAAAAAGAAAUUCAUGAUAUCUUGAUGUCUAUAUGUAUUCAAAAAUGUCAGACAACUGAAUAUUUGAUAUGUAUAACCUGAUAUGAAAUGUGUGUGUAUGUUCACGGAAGAUAAUAGUCCAUUACUUUACAAAAGCUGUUAUUGGUGACUAAAGUGAAGACCAAACCUGAAGCAAAACUUAGUAAGGGUGGUAGUUUCUGUGAGCAUUAUCAUUGCCAAUAGGGCAAUACAUCUCGAGCAACAAAGCCAUUUGUAAGUCUUCCCAAACUUUUACUCUUGUCCUAUUGCUAGAUAUUUCUGCUGAUGAAAAAUUUUGGAAGCAGAUGAUACUCCAGUAACACUUCCUCGAAUUUAGGUACCACUAAACAACUGAGGCUUUUAGCUCUGACAGUAUUCCUUGAUAUCAAAGUUGGAGACCUAAAAAAGGAAACCUUACUGUAAGUUUGCUUGGUCUCUUACUGGACCACUUUUAGACAGAUUUUGGAACCUGGAGACCUAAGGUCUACAGUCACCUGCCUAAAUAUAUAUAACGAAAUUGUUCACGUCAAGUGUGCAAGUUUCUGAUAUCAAACAAACAGAAGUCAUAUUUGCAUUUAAACCCAAAUAAAGUUGUCACUCAUACAACGUUCAUCUUAAACAGAUGCUGCAUUUGAAAAAUUAACAAAUUGAAUUGCUUGUAACCUUUGUGGACAUGGAUAUUCAACAAAAACUGUAUUUUGCUGUUAUUCUUUAGUAAUAAGCUCCACACCUUCUGGAUUGGUUGCUUAAUAUAUGUGACUGUAAGAGAAAUAUAAGAAUUUAAUUACUGUAGGUGAUACGUACAUAGUACACCUUGUCACUUCCUAAGUCACUCACAAAAACUAUCAUUCUCACUACGUUGGGUCAUUGGUUGUGUGCCUUCAUCACCGAUAAAAAUAUUUGAUCGUACCAUCUUUAGGGUACACAAAAUUUAUUGUUAAAAUUCUAUCUUAUUGGCCAUUUAUGAUCUGUCAUGUUUCCAUAAGGCAAGGGAAUUUUUUUUGCAAAAUAUUACUUAGUAUUUAAUUUUGAUUCUCUAAUAAAGUUUUUGUAAUUCUGAUUCUCUAACAAAGUUUUGUUGUGAGCAAGUACAAAAUCAUAAUCUGACUGUUAGCCGUUUCUUUUUUUUUUUAUAUAUAGCCAGCACAAUAAUUGCCUUGUGAAUUACAUUUGUUAUAACUUAAAUGGUCACCAGAUUUAUUACUGUGACAAGAAAGCAUAUAAUUUUAUUUCAUCCAUAUUAUAUUACUAUCAAACACAAACUACUCCUUAAAAUAAGUUACAUUUUGUAAGUGCACCAUUGUUAAUAUUAAUUACAGUAGAUUCCUUUUUGUGA